RNAcentral lists this ribosomal RNA (468 nucleotides) under uncultured bacterium. RNAcentral describes it as "partial 16S ribosomal RNA". It matches the Rfam family "Bacterial small subunit ribosomal RNA", at positions 28 to 507 of the family's 1533-position model. The record is from RNAcentral.
GACGAACGCUGGCGGCGUGCUUAACACAUGCAAGUCGAACGGAAAGGCCCUGCUUUUGUGGGGUGCUCGAGUGGCGAACGGGUGAGUAACACGUGAGUAACCUGCCCUUGACUUUGGGAUAACUUCAGGAAACUGGGGCUAAUACCGGAUAGGAGCUCCUGCUGCAUGGUGGGGGUUGGAAAGUUUCGGCGGUUGGGGAUGGACUCGCGGCUUAUCAGCUUGUUGGUGGGGUAGUGGCUGACCAAGCCUUUGACGGGUAGCCGGCCUGAGAGGGUGACCGGCCACAUUGGGACUGAGAUACGGCCCAGACUCCUACGGGAGGCAGCAGUGGGGAAUAUUGCACAAUGGGCGGAAGCCUGAUGCAGCAACGCCGCGUGCGGGAUGACGGCCUUCGGGUUGUAAACCGCUUUCGCCUGUGACGAAGCGUGAGUGACGGUAAUGGGUAAAGAAGCACCGGCUAACUACGUG